RNAcentral lists this transfer RNA (71 nucleotides) under Candidatus Vidania fulgoroideorum. Its description in RNAcentral is "tRNA-Arg". It matches the Rfam family "tRNA". From Rfam's summary of the family: Transfer RNA (tRNA) molecules are approximately 80 nucleotides in length. The record is from RNAcentral. Lineage: Bacteria; Pseudomonadati; Pseudomonadota; Betaproteobacteria.
CUCCUUAUAGUUUAAUGGAAGAACACAGGUCUUCUAAACCUGGAAUUAAGGUUCAAAUCCUUAUAAGGAGG